CCCUUAGAUGUUCUGGGCCGCACGCGCGCUACACUGGUCUUCGCAAACGGAUGCAUUCUCGAAGGAGAAUGCCAAUCUUGGAAUCUAUGCCUUGGUCGGGACAGUUGCUUGCAAUUUUUCGACUCGAACCAGGAAUUCCUUGUAAUCGUGAUUCAUCACAUCACGAUGAAUACGUCCCUGCCCUUUGUACACACCGCCCGUCGCUCCUACCGAUCGAAGAGUUGGGUGAAUUGUUUUGAUCGAUAAGAUUUGACUAUGGUCAACUCUCGUUGUGAAAUUCUGUGAAUCUGACUGUUUAGAGGAAGGAAAAGUCGUAACA
RNAcentral lists this ribosomal RNA (319 nucleotides) under uncultured eukaryote. Its description in RNAcentral is "partial 18S ribosomal RNA". It matches the Rfam family "Eukaryotic small subunit ribosomal RNA", at positions 1470 to 1796 of the family's 1831-position model. The record is from RNAcentral.